ACACAUGCAAGUCGAGGGGCAUCAGGAAGAAAGCUUGCUUUCUUUGCUGGCGACCGGCGCACGGGUGAGUAACACGUAUCCAACCUGCCCUUUACUCGGGGAUAGCCUUUCGAAAGAAAGAUUAAUACCCGAUAGCAUAAUGAUUCCGCAUGGUUUCAUUAUUAAAGGAUUCCGGUAAAGGAUGGGGAUGCGUUCCAUUAGGUUGUUGGUGAGGUAACGGCUCACCAAGCCUUCGAUGGAUAGGGGUUCUGAGAGGAAGGUCCCCCACAUUGGAACUGAGACACGGUCCAAACUCCUACGGGAGGCAGCAGUGAGGAAUAUUGGUCAAUGGGCGUUAGCCUGAACCAGCCAAGUAGCGUGAAGGAUGAAGGCUCUAUGGGUCGUAAACUUCUUUUAUAUAAGAAUAAAGUGCAGUAUGUAUACUGUUUUGUAUGUAUUAUAUGAAUAAGGAUCGGCUAACUCCGUGCCAGCAGCCGCGGUAAUACGGAGGAUCCGAGCGUUAUCCGGAUUUAUUGGGUUUAAAGGGAGCGUAGGUGGACUGGUAAGUCAGUUGUGAAAGUUUGCGGCUCAACCGUAAAAUUGCAGUUGAUACUGUCAGUCUUGAGUACAGUAGAGGUGGGCGGAAUUCGUGGUGUAGCGGUGAAAUGCUUAGAUAUCACGAAGAACUCCGAUUGCGAAGGCAGCUCACUGGACUGCAACUGACACUGAUGCUCGAAA
RNAcentral lists this ribosomal RNA (717 nucleotides) under uncultured organism. RNAcentral describes it as "SSU rRNA". It matches the Rfam family "Bacterial small subunit ribosomal RNA", at positions 51 to 758 of the family's 1533-position model. The record is from RNAcentral.